Molecule: RNA transcript, 2709 nt
Organism: Solenopsis invicta (red fire ant)
Lineage: Eukaryota; Metazoa; Arthropoda; Insecta; Hymenoptera; Formicidae
Exons: 12
Source: RefSeq, a predicted model, not a curated record
GGAGGGGUUUCGAACGCAAAGAGGGAGGUUUGUCUGAUGGUGCGAACGGUGGAACGUGAAAUGCGAGGUGAGCGCGUGAGCAAAGGAUGGGUGGGAGGUUAUAACCAACGGAUAGUGGGGGAGAACUCGACGAGGUGGCGGAAGAGAAGGGAAGAGAAGGGGUUUGAUACGGACUUUGGACAGCCAUGGCUCAGUUCGCUUCCGUUCCGUGUUGUGUGAGGUUCUCGUGCGUUUUCAAUUGCAGUCGUCGUUCCGCACACUGAUCCCUUCGCGAGAGAGAAGCUUGCUCCCUAUUGCCGUAACUCCUUGUCUCGCCUGAGGAAGUUCGCUACGAAAUCGUUCACGCACGGUGUACGUUGUUACAGGAAGUGCUUAUAAGUGAGUGUAUGAAGUGCUUGAUAUUCCGUCGAGUGCUUUGUGUUUUCGAGAUAAACUUCGCGCGUGAUCACGGAUAGAAGAUCAUGUUAACGAGAAAUCAUUGCUGUUUGCUGGCGUCGCUGUUACUUGUCUUUGGACGUAUACAAGAAAUCCUCUGGUCACAGCAGCAGUGUGAAGUCGAGCGUUAUCAAACAAAUUCAUCUCCGAUUCUAUGAUGAAAUGGAAGAACGAGCGACCGAAGAACAUUAUCGAUAUAGCGGACAACUGUUACUCCUGGAGGAGGUAUGAUGACCAGGUAACAUGAUUUACAUAACAUGUGUGUACCAAAUGCUACUUUCAUUGAAUUUCUUACUAUGUCGCCGUCAAUAUCAAUCUUGGCAACUGAUUAUCAAAAGCAUCAACAUACCAGCUAUUGUAAAAGUUAACGACACCGAUUACAUUAUCCUCGAUUGCGAUUACGACCUCGAGAAUACAUCGAGCAAAGGCCUUGUUGUUAAAUGGUUUUUUAACACCAACCAGGUGGUCUACCAAUGGAUAUAUGGCAGAAAUCCUCUGGCGGACGAACCUGCUGCAAAAUACAUCGAUCUAACCUAUAAAGCCAGCGAUGAUCCGUACACGGAACACCGAGCCAUAAAGUUGAAUAAUCCUGGUAUUGAUCUUACCGGCGAAUAUACAUGCGUUAUAUCUACUUUUGCAGAUGAACGAACGGCAAAUGCGUCAAUGAUAGUGUAUUCUACAGAGGAAAAGUUUGAACUUGCAUAUAGGAAAAAGAUUAUACAUGAUAAAGAUGGAGUUGAAAUAACAUGUAUUGCUGAAGGACUUUAUCCUCAACCAACUUUAAACGUCUCCGUCGAAAAUAUUCCGGAGAUGCAAACUGAGAACCCCACCAUUACACUGCGUGACGAUGGGCUAUACAAUAUCUUAUUGCGUGUCACCUUACUGGAUGAAGAUUUACCAGAAACAACGAUUAUUAAAUGUUUGCUCAGCAUAUCGAAAGCAUCGUACAACGUUUCUCGCAAAACUGUCUAUUAUACUGGAACAUUUACUACUACGUCAACUACUACAACGAAGUUACACCGUAAAAUGGAAAUUCAGGCCUUCGAUAAGUCGAAAUCUAAUAAUGAUGAAGAUAAUUCCGCUGGUUACAUAUCAAUCAAUCUUCCAUUGUUAUCAAUACAAUUAGCCGUUCUCAGCGCAUUUCAACUAAUAAUAACUUAAAAGUGAUACAGUAUUGUUAUAGUCUUCAUCUUCAAUGUCAUUAUCGUCUUCAUCUUCGUCGUCGUCGUCUUCGUCAUCAUCUUCGUCUUCGUCUUUGCAAGAUGGCUUGGAUGUCAAGUACGAAUAUGUGCUACUAAAUAUUGUUACCAAUGCUGGCAAAGUGAGUGAGAUUGAGAUAAUUAACAAGCAGGAAUGAGCUGCUUAAGAAUAACAUCACAACUCAAAAUCAGGAAGAAAGAGAUAAUAAGCCAGUGAAAGCAGAAAUGAACAAUAUACGAGAAACGUCAUGCGUUAUAAGAAAAAAUGAGUCCUCCAAGGAUGGCGCAAGAGGAAUAAGUGGGGAUGGGGGAUAACGUCACGCGCUAGAGUUCAGGAGGUUAAUUAUGAAACUUUUCCCUAGGGCGGAAAAAUGAAAACUUUCUCCAUUAAUUUUAAUGUAAAGAUUUUCACUUUCCGCGUUUCGGCUCUAGGAAAAACUUUCAUGAUUGACCCUCUGGAAAGCGUAGUUAUCAGCGGCACUAGAGGAGAAAAGGAUGAAAUCGAACAUGCACAAUUAAAAUCUAUACAAUCUACAAUCCAAAAAAUUAAAACUGAAAAACCAAAAAAUGAAACUAAAAAAACUGACAAAAUGUUAGAAAUAGCAUAUGAAGAUAAAUUUAAUCAUGGAAUGACAAUAAAAUUAAUAGAGGUUGUCCAAACAAAUAUUUAUCUUCUUAAUGACAAAAUGCACGCCAACAAAAAAAAUCUGGGCUAAUAUUGCAACAGAAAUGCAAAAUAGUGGUUAUUUGAUAAAUUAUAAUGGAACAAAAAGCGCUGAAAAAUGCCAUCAACGUUGGCAGAACUUAGAGAAGAUGUAUCAUGGACAUUGCCGUUACAUGAAAUCUACUGGCACAGAGAAGAAGAAACCUCCAAAAUAUUUUGAUGAAAUGCAUGACCUCAUUGGAAAGAAACAUAGCAGUAAACCAGUAAAUUUACUGGAUUCACUACAAGAUUUAAAUGCAUCUACAGUUUCUAAUACUUGUAGCAAUGAAAAAGAAAAUAAUGAAAAUACAGAUAGUAGUGAAGAAUGUAUAAUAAAAGAUAGCACAUCAAAGAAUACAAAAAAGUAGGAAA